This 249-nucleotide ribosomal RNA is filed under the name uncultured prokaryote. RNAcentral's name for it is "partial 16S ribosomal RNA". It matches the Rfam family "Bacterial small subunit ribosomal RNA", at positions 526 to 774 of the family's 1533-position model. The record is from RNAcentral.
CGGAGGAUGCAAGCGUUAUCCGGAUUCAUUGGGUUUAAAGGGUGCGUAGGCUGGCUAUUAAGUCAGUGGUGAAAUCCUGCAGCUUAACUGCAGAACUGCCGUUGAUACUGAUAGUCUUGAGUUUGGUUAAGGUAGGCGGAAUGUGGUGUGUAGCGGUGAAAUGCAUAGAUAUACCACAGAACGCCGAUUGCGAAGGCAGCUUACUAAGCUGUUACUGACGCUGAGGCACGAAAGCGUGGGGAUCAAACA